This 305-nucleotide long non-coding RNA is filed under the name Setaria viridis. RNAcentral's name for it is "long non-coding RNA (SVIR_LNC004343)". Lineage: Eukaryota; Viridiplantae; Streptophyta; Magnoliopsida; Poales; Poaceae. The record is from RNAcentral.
GGAUAUCCCUGUCUGGAGGCAUUCCAGGUAGCUCUUCAGGAAAGAUAUCAGGACUCACUACCGGAACUUCCUCAAUGGCCUUAGCUUCCAUGCUAAAAACCAUGGGGUCUGGGCCACUUCCUCGAGUGUGACAGGUCACUUGCACACCUUCCUGAUUGAUCAGGUGUACUACCUUAUCAGCACAUCCUAUGUGACCAUCAUGCAUGUUUAGCCAAUCCAUUCCGAGAAUCACAUCUAUCCCCUUGGACUUAAGUACCACUAGAUCCACUAAGAACUCUACCCCACUUAAAUUGAUCCUUACCCGG